RNAcentral lists this ribosomal RNA (486 nucleotides) under uncultured bacterium. RNAcentral describes it as "partial 16S ribosomal RNA". It matches the Rfam family "Bacterial small subunit ribosomal RNA", at positions 30 to 507 of the family's 1533-position model. The record is from RNAcentral.
AUUGAACGCUGGCGACAUGCCUUACACAUGCAAGUCGAACGGCAGCACGGGUGCUUGCACCUGGUGGCGAGUGGCGAACGGGUGAGUAAUACAUCGGAACAUGUCCUGUAGUGGGGGAUAGCCCGGCGAAAGCCGGAUUAAUACCGCAUACGAUCUACGGAUGAAAGCGGGGGACCUUCGGGCCUCGCGCUAUAGGGUUGGCCGAUGGCUGAUUAGCUAGUUGGUGGGGUAAAGGCCUACCAAGGCGACGAUCAGUAGCUGGUCUGAGAGGACGACCAGUCACACUGGGACUGAGACACGGCCCAGACUCCUACGGGAGGCAGCAGUGGGGAAUUUUGGACAAUGGGCGAAAGCCUGGUCCAGCAAUGCCGCGUGUGUGAAGAAGGCCUUCGGGUUGUAAAGCACUUUUGUCCGGAAAGAAAUCCUUGGCCCUAAUACGGUCGGGGGAUGACGGUACCGGAAGAAUAAGCACCGGCUAACUACGUG